Molecule: ribosomal RNA, 254 nt
Filed under: uncultured bacterium
Lineage: Bacteria
Description: partial 16S ribosomal RNA
Rfam family: Bacterial small subunit ribosomal RNA
Source: RNAcentral
UACAGAGGGGGCAAGCGUUGUUCGGAAUUACUGGGCGUAAAGGGCGCGUAGGCGGCCUGCUAAGUCGAACGUGAAAUCCCUGGGCUCAACCCAGGAACUGCGUCCGAUACUGGUUGGCUUGAAUCCGGGAGAGGGAUGCAGAAUUCCAGGUGUAGCGGUGAAAUGCGUAGAUAUCUGGAGGAAUACCGGUGGCGAAGGCGGCAUCCUGGACCGACAUUGACGCUGAGUGAGCGAAAGCUAGGGGAGCAAACGGG